Molecule: ribosomal RNA, 1187 nt
Filed under: metagenome
Description: SSU rRNA
Rfam family: Eukaryotic small subunit ribosomal RNA
Source: RNAcentral
AUUAAAGUUGUUGCAGUUAAAAAGCUCGUAGUUGGACUUGUGUGCGCUGUCCGCGGGUGGCCUGCGCCCAAAAGGGCGUUUCGGUUCGGCCCCGGUGGCGCCUUGAAAUCUGCAGCUGGGGGGACGUUGGCCUUAACUGGUCGGCGACCGCACGCCGGCUGCUCGGUUACUGUGAGAAAAUUAGAGUGUUCAAGGCAGGCAUUGGGUGCAAUUGAAUACAUUAGCAUGGAAUAAUAAAAUAUGGCUCCUGCCGUAUUUUGUUGGUUUUGACUGGUGGGAGUAAUGAUUGAUAGGGACGGUUGGGGGUGCUAGUAUUGAGCGGCCAGAGGUGAAAUUCAUGGAUUCGCUCAAGACUAACUUAUGCGAAAGCAUUCACCAAGGACGUCCUCUUUAAUCAAGAACGAAAGUUGGGGGAUCGAAGACGAUCAGAUACCGUCGUAGUCUCAACCAUAAACUAUGUCGACUUGGGAUCGGCGGUAGUUUUUUCAUUAAGACACUGUCGGGACCACGGGAGAAAUCAAAGUGUCUGGACUCUGGGGGAAGUAUGGUCGCAAGGCUGAAACUUGAAGGAAUUGACGGAAGGGCACCACCAGGAGUGGAGCCUGCGGCUUAAUUUGACCCAACACGGGGAAACUUACCAGGUCCAGAGAUGUAGAGGAUUGACAGAUUGAAGCUCUUUCUUGAUCACUUCGGUGGUGGUGCAUGGCCGUUCUUAGUUGGUGGAGUGAUUUGUCUGGUUAAUUCCGUUAACGAACGAGACCUCAGCCUGCUAGUGUAGUCGGCUGGAUUGCCUUUGGCGAUCCGUGAUUUCGACUUCUUAGAGGGACAAUCGACGCGCAGUCGAUGGAAGUUUGAGGCAAUAACAGGUCUGUGAUGCCCUUAGAUGUUCUGGGCCGCACACGCGCUACACUGCUGGGCUCAGCGAGUUUUACUUGGCCGAGAGGCCCGGUUAAUCUUGUGAAAUCCCAGCGUGCUUGGGCUCGCCUCCUGCAACUGGAGGCGCCAACGAGGAAUUCCUAGUAGACGCAGGUCAUCAACCUGCAUCGAUUACGUCCCUGCCCUUUGUACACACCGCCCGUCGUUCCAUAAGAGUGAGGCAUCCGGUGAAUUCUCGGGAGAGCCUGGGCGUGGCCAGCAAUGGUCUGCUCGGGUUUGAACUUGCAUAAACUUGGUGCCUAUGAUUAGGG